Piliocolobus tephrosceles (Ugandan red Colobus) is the source of this 410-nucleotide long non-coding RNA. RefSeq lists it as uncharacterized. The transcript is spliced from 2 exons. NCBI's taxonomy places the organism in Eukaryota, Metazoa, Chordata, Mammalia, Primates, Cercopithecidae. The record is from RefSeq and is a predicted model, not a curated record.
AGCCAGGUACAUGUCCUGAAUUUAUAGAAUCUUUUGACAUGAAGCAACAGAGCUGCAGUCAAGACUGAAGUCAAAAGAAAUUUAGAUCCUGUCUGGGCAAACAGACCUCUAAGCAACAAUCUAAGAUUUCCCCCUAUUGUUCUGGGGUUCCUUGUAUAAAUGAUUAUGACUGCAGAGAUCUUAUGAAGUGCUGUGGUACCUUUAGAUGUGGCCUGAGGUACACACAUCUCUUAUGAUUGACCCUGUGUUUUUCAAUUCGCCUCCACAAUCUAAGGCAUAAAUAUUGGAUGGAGAAAUGGAAUCAGACGGAGGCAUCAUUGAGCUUAUUCUUCUUGACUCAUCUCAGUCCAAACAUUACUCUCUCAAGUGUUGUUCUUAAAAUCUGCAUAUUAAAAGCUCAGCAUCAUCUA